UUUUCAGACCUGUGCAAUAUUUUUUUUAAACAUCGCUUCAGGGUAGGAAUACAGCAGAGCACUUAAAUUUAAUAUGUGCCGCAGCCACCUGGGAAAAG
RNAcentral lists this signal recognition particle RNA (98 nucleotides) under Campylobacter sp. 2018MI34. RNAcentral describes it as "signal recognition particle sRNA small type". It matches the Rfam family "Bacterial small signal recognition particle RNA". Rfam says of the family: The signal recognition particle (SRP) is a universally conserved ribonucleoprotein involved in the co-translational targeting of proteins to membranes. Archaeal SRP consists of a 7S RNA and homologues of the eukaryotic SRP19 and SRP54 proteins. Lineage: Bacteria; Pseudomonadati; Campylobacterota; Epsilonproteobacteria; Campylobacterales; Campylobacteraceae. The record is from RNAcentral.